UGGGGAAUAUUGCACAAUGGACGCAAGUCUGAUGCAGCGACGCCGCGUGAGGGAUGACGGCCUUCGGGUUGUAAACCUCUUUCGCCAAGGACGAAGCGAAAGUGACGGUACUUGGAGAAGAAGCGCCGGCCAACUACGUGCCAGCAGCCGCGGUAAGACGUAGGGCGCGAGCGUUGUCCGGAUUUAUUGGGCGUAAAGAGCUCGUAGGCGGCUCAUUGCGUCAACCGUGAAAACCCGCGGCUCAACUGCGGGCUUGCGGUUGAUACGGGUGGGCUGGAGUUCGGUAGGGGAGACUGGAAUUCCUGGUGUAGCGGUGAAAUGCGCAGAUAUCAGGAGGAACACCGGUGGCGAAGGCGGGUCUCUGGGCCGAUACUGACGCUGAGGAGCGAAAGCGUGGGGAGCGAACAGGAUUAGAUACCCCCGUAGUCC
RNAcentral lists this ribosomal RNA (429 nucleotides) under uncultured bacterium. RNAcentral describes it as "bacterial SSU rRNA". It matches the Rfam family "Bacterial small subunit ribosomal RNA", at positions 355 to 796 of the family's 1533-position model. The record is from RNAcentral.